Molecule: ribosomal RNA, 217 nt
Filed under: uncultured bacterium
Lineage: Bacteria
Description: partial 16S ribosomal RNA
Rfam family: Bacterial small subunit ribosomal RNA
Source: RNAcentral
ACUCCUACGGGAGGCAGCAGACACGCCGCGUGAGUGAUGAAGGUUUUCGGAUCGUAAAGCUCUGUUGUUAGGGAAGAACAAGUACCGUUCGAAUAGGGCGGUACCUUGACGGUACCUAACCAGAAAGCCACGGCUAACUACGUGCCAGCAGCCGCGGUAAUACGUAGGUGGCAAGCGUUGUCCGGAAUUAUUGGGCGUAAAGCCAGCAGCCGCGGUA